GUCUACGGCCAUGCCACCCUGAACAAGCCCGAUGUCUGAUCUCGGAAGCUAAGCAGGGUCGGGCUUGGGUAGUACUUGGAUGGGAGACCACCUAGGAAGACCAGGUGCUAUAGGCA
RNAcentral lists this ribosomal RNA (116 nucleotides) under Pteropus alecto (black flying fox). Lineage: Eukaryota; Metazoa; Chordata; Mammalia; Chiroptera; Pteropodidae. The record is from RNAcentral.